This 497-nucleotide ribosomal RNA is filed under the name uncultured bacterium. RNAcentral's name for it is "partial 16S ribosomal RNA". It matches the Rfam family "Bacterial small subunit ribosomal RNA", at positions 28 to 507 of the family's 1533-position model. The record is from RNAcentral.
GAUGAACGCUGGCGGCGUGCCUAAUACAUGCAAGUCGAGCGAACGGACGAGAAGCUUGCUUCUCUGAUGUUAGCGGCGGACGGGUGAGUAACACGUGGAUAACCUACCUAUAAGACUGGGAUAACUUCGGGAAACCGGAGCUAAUACCGGAUAAUAUUUUGAACCGCAUGGUUCAAAAGUUAAAGACGGUCUUGCUGUCACUUAUAGAUGGAUCCGCGCUGCAUUAGCUAGUUGGUAAGGUAACGGCUUACCAAGGCAACGAUGCAUAGCCGACCUGAGAGGGUGAUCGGCCACACUGGAACUGAGACACGGUCCAGACUCCUACGGGAGGCAGCAGUAGGGAAUAUUCCGCAAAGGGCGAAAGCCUGACGGAGCAACGCCGCGUGAGUGAUGAAGGUCUUCGGAUCGUAAAACUCUGUUAUUAGGGAAGAACAGAUGUGUAAGUAACUGUGCACAUCUUGACGGUACCUAAUCAGAAAGCCACGGCUAACUACGUG